Molecule: ribosomal RNA, 322 nt
Filed under: uncultured eukaryote
Lineage: Eukaryota
Description: partial 18S ribosomal RNA
Rfam family: Eukaryotic small subunit ribosomal RNA
Source: RNAcentral
CCCUUAGAUGUUCUGGGCCGCACGCGUGCUACACUGAGUGGAUCAGCGGGUCAGGUUGCGCGAAAGUGUUUCCUAAUCUUUAAAUCCGCUCGUGAUGGGGAUUGACGGUUGCAAUUUUCCGUCAUGAACGAGGAAUACCUUGUAAGCGCGGGUCAUCAUCCCGCGCUGAAUACGUCCCUGCCCUUUGUACACACCGCCCGUCGCUCCUACCGAUUGAGUGGUCCGGUGAGGCUUUGGGAUCUGAGCGGAAAGAGCGUUUCGCUGUUUCUGCCCGCAAAACUCAGUCGAACCUUAUCAUUUAGAGGAAGGAGAAGUCGUAACA